UACGGGAGGCAGCAGUGGGGAAUAUUGGACAAUGGGCGAAAGCCUGAUCCAGCAAUGCCGCGUGAGUGAUGAAGGCCUUAGGGUUGUAAAGCUCUUUUACCAGGGAUGAUAAUGACAGUACCUGGAGAAUAAGCUCCGGCUAACUCCGUGCCAGCAGCCGCGGUAAUACGGAGGGAGCUAGCGUUGUUCGGAAUUACUGGGCGUAAAGCGCACGUAGGCGGCGAUUCAAGUCAGAGGUGAAGCCCGGGGCUCAACCCCGGAACUGCCUUUGAAACUGAUUGCUAGAAUCCUGGAGAGGUUAGUGGAAUUCCGAGUGUAGAGGUGAAAUUCGUAGAUAUUCGGAAGACACCAGUGGCGAAGGCGACUAACUGGACAGGUAUUGACGCUGAGGGUGCGAAAGCGUGGGGAGCAAACGAGGGAUUAGAUACCCGU
This 432-nucleotide ribosomal RNA is filed under the name uncultured bacterium. Its description in RNAcentral is "bacterial SSU rRNA". It matches the Rfam family "Bacterial small subunit ribosomal RNA", at positions 340 to 789 of the family's 1533-position model. The record is from RNAcentral.